GGAAACCCAUGCUCAACAGUAAUAAAUAAAAAUAAUCUGUUUUGCAGACAAGCGAUUCUUAUGUGCUCAGAAGAGGAACCUCAUCUUAGAAGGAUUGACAUACUUUGAAAAGAUGGCCUUUAGAAGCAAGGUGAAGCUACAGUCAAUUGUGAGACAUGGUCUGCAGGAGGAAAAACUGAUGUGUGAGUAAGUCCAGUUGUGCUAAGAAUUUUUUUGCUUCCUGUUCUACAUUCCAUCCUUCUCUGCUCUAGGAGGCUGACCUCUAUAGACUGCAUCAAGGUUAACCCUUCCUCACCAUCUGAGAAAUGGUCCAGCCAUGCAAGGUCCUGGCAGAAGACAGUGAGGGUAAGAAGAUCAGCUUUGGGCUGGGAAUUGCCCUGGACUUUCGCCUGCUGACCCUGGAAGACUACAGUUUGUUUCCUUUGGCUUCAGUUCUCUCUGACUUGCAUCCUCUCUUUCCCAAGUAACCCCUCAAAUCCAGUAACCUCCUUGCACCUGCUGAUUUUAGCAUGGUUACUCAGUCUGAGUUUCCCUAAACGAAGAGACUGGUGACGACUUGAGUGCACAGUUUAUUUGGAAACUUUUCUCAGAGCACAGGAAUGAGAGGCAGGGGGAUUGGCAAGGAAGUAAAAGCUUUAACAUGGAUGAGUUAUUGAACUGGCCACAGCUCUCAUUAAGUGGCACUCAAUCCUUCAGUCCUCUGAGAAAUCUUCUGGAAUGCAUUGCAGAACAGCCUGCUGGGGAAGAUAUAGGCGCCUGGGCAUCCAGCUACUCAACUAAUUGUUGACCUGGAGCAAGAGAAGGAGCCUCCUGGAGCCUCAGUCUUCUUCCCAGGAGCUGGGGAGAAAUGCCUCCUCAGGGCAUGAUUGUGAAGCUUGAACAAAUGGCAGCUUACAGCCUCUAUGCAGAGUGGCAGGUUUCAGUAAAAGUGAGUUCUUUACAACUAGCACCACCUGGGAGGUCCAGGGAAGCCCUGAAGAGACUCAAAAGAAUACCAAAGGUAAUUUUACUCUCUUCACCUUCUCAAGCACAUGGAAGUCUGCAGAUCCAGGCUUUGCUCAUCUUCCCCUCCUUGAGCAACUCUCAC
This 1087-nucleotide long non-coding RNA is filed under the name Capra hircus (goat). Its description in RNAcentral is "lncRNA (ENSCHIG00000002791.1)". The record is from RNAcentral. Lineage: Eukaryota; Metazoa; Chordata; Mammalia; Artiodactyla; Bovidae.